Nycticebus coucang (slow loris) is the source of this 3265-nucleotide long non-coding RNA. RefSeq lists it as uncharacterized. The transcript has 6 exons. NCBI's taxonomy places the organism in Eukaryota, Metazoa, Chordata, Mammalia, Primates, Lorisidae. The record is from RefSeq and is a predicted model, not a curated record.
AACAAGCUUGGAUUACCGCGAGCCAGGGAUCCCGCCACUCUGGCAGCCUCCUGAGGAUUCCGUGGUGGGGACCAGCACAGAGCCGCCUCCAGUGGUCCUCAGAGAGCAAGAGUGUCAACUCCAGCAAAGAGACUGCCUCCAAAUCUCCAGGCUGGUCAAGUGAAGCCGUGGGCAUGGAGAAGGAACAGAGGAGCCUGCAUGGCUGUGAUUCAUCAGGUACAAACGCGACGGUGCUGGGACCAGCCUGAUUACGCAUCUCACAAGGAAGCCAGGUUCAGCCGGGGCCGGGUUUGAACAUGCCACCCUCGGUAUAUGGGGCCGGCGCCUUACCGACUGAGCCACAGGCGCCGCCCAUGUCACUCCUUUUCCUAGAACUGCGAUCAUACCAGGACAGUGGUCUUUUCUCCUCCCAGGAUCAGGCAUCUUGUCUGGAAACUGUGGCUCAGCGUUGCAAGCUCUGGGGUGACCGGAGGCAUGCCAGGCACAGUGUAGGCCCUGGGCUGAAGUUCCAGCUCCUGUUCUUUAUUUUGGGAGCUGAAGGGCUGGCAGCAGGGCCAGAAAGAUUUGGGGUGGUUUGCAGCACCGGAGCCCAGAGAUUCAGAACCAGCAUACAGAGACCAUGACGCUCUAAGCAGCAGGAGAAGAGGUAGGGGUACGGCUGAGAACCCCGUGCCCCAGGAUUCCCAGGCAUAGACAGCAUCACCCUCAUGGGAACUGGGACCUUUGAGGGCACAGGGAGGGAGCAGGGCCACGCAGCAGGGUCAGCUGCCUCCCACCUGCUCCCCAGGUUGCCCUGGGCACCUUCCCUGCCUCUGUGGUGGGUACAGCCACGGGGGGCUCUGACCGGCUUCCCCCAUGGAGGCCACAGUCGCCUCUUCAGGGCUCUCCUGUUUCCCCAGUCCCUGCCACAGCCUGGCAAUGGGCCCUCUGUCAGAGCCCCCCAAUCUGUGGGAGGGCACUCUGAUCCCCAGGGGACCCCGGCAAACCCCACUUUGCCUCCCUGCUAUCAGCUUUGGUCUGGCUCCUUCCUCUGGUGGCAGCUUGGUAGAGUUACAGUCUACCCCCAGCACUGCAGCCUAACUGGGAGCCUCCGCAGGCCCAGGCUGGUCACCCUGCACACUGGCUUCUGUGGUCCUUUGGGCUGCUGCGGGCAGUGCAUCCUCCCCUCAGGUCCGUUACUGCCCCAACUGCCCCAUAACCCUCUUGCCUCUGUCCCAUGACCCCCCAUCUGGCCUGGGAUGGCCAUGCACUCCAACAGCAGCAGCCCCACACUGUUGUCCUCUGCCUGUGGGCCACAAAGGGCUGUGGGGACCCUGGGCAUGGGGGCAGGGGGUGAGGGACCAGCACUGGGGGGCUUGGAGAGGCCACAGGCCAGUGUCUACAGGUAACCACCCUGGGGUGGGACUGUGUCUCCUGGCUGUCCCAGGAAGAUCAGGCAGUGUCUGUCUGGGAUUUCCCCUGUGACUGUCUCCUGAGGUGGCCCUCACCAGCCCCCUGGGGUCCAGGCAGACAGGGAGCUGCCUGCACCAGGUGUGUGUGAGACCCCUGAGGACACUCAUCACCCAGUGGUGGCUGUGAUGGAGAAGCAGAGAUGUGGGUGUCCCUCCUCAGGGCUCUGCUUGGUGGGGCUAACAGGGGACAAGAGUGGGCUGUUGUCCGGCUCAUCUGUACUACACCCUGGUGGGAAUUCAGGGCUCCACAGAACCUCAGGGCCUGGCCUGAGCAGCCAGCACGCAUCUUGGUUAGUGCCCGGCUAGCGCUUCUAAGUCUGUGGGCAGUGUCCCCAGCUCUUGAGGCUCCAGGGCAGCCUCAGGUACUGGCUCUGUCUGGCCUCAGCCCCUCUCAGGUCCUGUCCCCACAGAGGAACAGAAGUGACAAGAGGCAGCUCACGUUGGCCCAAAGCUGACUUGUGUGGCAGACAAGGGGCUGGGGCAGGCAUGUCCCCACUGGGUCCUUGGGCGGUGUGACACUAUGGCUGGUUGAGUGACUCCCGGACAAAGAGGCAGUGGGGCACAGGGGGCCUGGAAGGAGAGCCUGCCCAGUGAGCAGGAGCAGAGGGAGGGCAGGGCUGGUGCCGUGAGGGGCAGCCAAGGGUGGGUGGGUGGACUGUGGGAGCAGCCACCAGUGGGACCUGCAAUGAGGGCAGAGCAGGGACCCCUGGGCGUGUGUGAGUCGGAGAAUUUCUCUGACAGCAUGAGGGUGUCACCGUCCUUGCAGGGCCCACUUUGUGUCCCCAGAGAGGACACCCAAGGCAGUGCCCGAAAGUGGCCCACACAGGUAGGUGCAGAUGGGCCCCUCAUGACUGACAGCCAGUGUGGUGGGGCCCACAACCCCGCAUUUCCAACGAGCUCCUCACAGCAUCAAUGACACUGACCAGAGGCCACAGUAGCAGGGCCUAAAUUAGUGGACACUCUUGAUAGGAACAAGUGGCCACUGACCAUGCCUCCAAGCCUGCUGAGUCCAAGGACUUCCUAGCAAUGCCUCCUUCAUUCCAGAAAACCUCAGGAAGCUACAGCCUGGCCUGCUUCUCACCACGACCCACCCACCACACUGAUGCACCCCAGAUUGCACGGUGAGAGUGUUUCCUAAGAAACAAGCAAACUGGCCUCCAAAGUGGCCACCGCGUUCUGCCCCCCCCCUGGUGAAAGGGCGUCACUGCGUGGCCACCCCAUCAGCACUUAUCAUCCAGGUGCUAGAUGCGUCAGCCACUGUUUGCAGUGAGGCGUCACCCCCUCAGGAACGAGUCGUGGAGCCCCCCGAGUGCCCAUGGCUGUCCCUGGUAAAAGCAGAAGAUUUUAAUCUUAAUGAGUCCAGCUCAUCAGCCAUUUCUUCCAUGGUCCUGCCUCUGGAGUUGUAUAUAGAAGUCCACCAAAUCCUAAUGCAUCUCAAUUUUCCCCCUGUGGAUGUUUACUUCGAUAAGAAACUGCUGAACUGGCGCCCAAAGUAGCUGCACCAUUCUGCAUUCCUGCUGGCAACGAAUGAGUCACCAUCCAGGGCUCACAGCUCUGCACCUGACACCUAGUCCUGGGACCCAGUCUGAGUUAAUGUUUGUGGAGAGUUUAUGGUUUGUGUCCAGAUUCCUUUCUUUCUUUUUGCGUUUGGAUGAGCAGUGGUUCCAGACCACUAUGGAAAAGGCGAUCUCUGCCCUGUGGGUUGCCUGGUUUGUGGUUGAAGUCCAAUGACUGUGUUUGUGUGGGUCUGUGCCAGCCAGAGAGACAGAGCGGACAGGGUGAACAGCUGGGGAGGGAAAAUAUACACACAUAGA